Zophobas morio is the source of this 182-nucleotide long non-coding RNA. RefSeq lists it as uncharacterized. The record is from RefSeq and is a predicted model, not a curated record. Lineage: Eukaryota; Metazoa; Arthropoda; Insecta; Coleoptera; Tenebrionidae. The transcript is spliced from 2 exons.
UCGCCCAGUUUCGUGGGGCCGUUGUGGAACCUGCAACGAGGACAUUAUGGUAUUGGCUGCUCGUUAAAUAAAAAAAAUUCGUCUUUGACCGAAAUCGACUGCAAUAUUUUUACUUUUAUGUAUAUAUAUAGAUUUCGAUAAGAUGUUAUAAAUCCUAACAAUAAUAAAUAUUUUUUUUACUA